Molecule: non-coding RNA, 94 nt
Organism: Arthrobacter sp. YC-RL1
Lineage: Bacteria; Bacillati; Actinomycetota; Actinomycetes; Micrococcales; Micrococcaceae
Source: Rfam
CGUAGUGACACGGGGUGCCGCCAUGCGGCUGAGAUAAAACCCGUCGAACCUGAUCCAGUUAGCACUGGCGAAGGGAAUGUCCUGGAUACCUCGA